AGAGAUAGUAGUUAUAGGAGUGAUUGGUGUUCUCUUAUGAUAAAUCCAUCUCGAAAUUAUUCUAGAUUUCUGAAGGAUUCCGAUUGUUCUGAAUGAAAAAUAUGGUGAGAAUAGAAAGAAGAUCCCUUCAGCUCUUAAGUUUCACGAUGUUCCUCCCAAACAUGUGCAGCAAUGAACCUUAGUAUAAGGUGUCUCUUCUUCUCAAUCCUAUUGCAGUCAGUGUCCUCCGAAAAGGUUUCUCAUUCCUUCCUCUUUAUUGUGCACAUGUGUUUUUUAUUGUCUCAAUUUUUGGAUAAUUAGGUGAGGUAAUAAAUGUGUAAAGAAUAUAUAUAUAGUGAGCGUUUAUGUUCUCAAUACUUAGUGAGUAUAUAAUUAUUGGAUGAUUUGUUUAAGUAUAUCUUAAUACAAGGUUGACGCGUGAUAGGAUGUGGCCGAGUUUCGUUUCGUUGCUUAAGCACAUCAAAUGAAUCUCUAACAUGAAAAACCAUGUAGAUUCUAGGGUCAAAUCUAGGUUUUGUGUUCAAUUUUUUUUUUUUUUUUUAUCUGCAAGGUUGUGUUCAUAAGAAGCAAGGAAUUUUGAGUUUGUUCAGGAAGAAAGCUCACUUAAUUUUGAGUUUGUUAUUGAUUAGUUGAUUUUUUGUUUCAGGUCUAUAUCAUUUUGCUCAAUUGAUUGAAAUUACUUGAGAGAAAUAGUAGUUAAGUUUUUUAGGAGACUCAGAAACACUUUCAUUGGAAAAUGAUAGUUAAUUUUGUUUUUUUACAUUUUUGAAUAGGGGACAUGUCCUUGUCGAACAAAUUGACACUUAAAAUUAGUUACUGCAAAUUUUUUAAUUCUCUUGAGCGAAUUAUGAUUCAUUGACCAAUAUUCUAUCUUCAUCCACCUAAAACAAGAAGAUUAAGCAAAAUUAGUGAAAACUUAUAUGAUUAAAAAUAAUUGACUAAAUAUUCUUUUCAAAAACACUAAAAGUAAAAAAAUAUAAAUUACUAAACUAAAAGGAAAUAUAUAUAUAUAUAUGUUCAUCAAUAUUCCACACCCUCCCAACUAAACUUGUAUUGUGAGGCUCCGAUAAAUCGAGAAGUAAAUUAGGGAAGACGAUUUCUCGGGCAGGUUAGACACGUCUUAAUAUCAUGAUUAGGAAGUAAAAUCUAAUUAAACACUAAAACUGUGAUUAAGGGAGUGUUGGGCCUGCAUUAAUCCUAGCACAGAGAAAAGCCCACUAGAAAACUAUAAAUAGGAAGAGACACACACCAUACAAGAGGAGAAAUCGGAGGAGAAGACGGAAGGACCUGGAGGUGGAAGAACUUGAAACUUGAUAUGGGAUAUUCGGCCUUGUAUCUUGUAAGAACAUUUUGGCGCCCACCAUGGGGUCGAAAGGAAAUCCUAUCGAGAAAAUCACAUGGUAGCCACAAGAAACAUGAUGGGAAACGAGAAGUCAACCGCAGUGAAGAGUCACUCAGUUGACCCGAUAACCAUGAUGCUAGAGAUGAGAAGGGAGUUCAAAAACAUGAAACGCAAAAGUGUGAAAGAGAUAAAUGUACUAAAAGCCGAGAAUGAGAUGAUUAAAUGAAAGCUAGAAUUAGGAGGUACUCCGACAGUCCAAAAGGAUCCAAGAGCCAGACAAUGUCAAGAAUGGAAGGGGAGAAUAGCUCGCAUCCCCAUAGUACUAGACCGACCACGUUUGUUAGCGCACUAGGAAUGUUAUCUCCCAAGCAUCCCUUCACCGAAACAAUAAUGGAAGUAUCCCUGCCGCUUACUUGGAAGAGUAUAGCAUUAGAUAAAUAUGAGGGUAGUACGAAUCUAGACGAGCACAUAGAUGCUUAUGUAACCUAGGUCCUUCUAUACACAACUGAGAAUGCCCUCCUUUGUUUGUGUUUCCUACUUCACUAAAGGGAACCGCCUUGAACUAGCUCACUCGACUCCCCCCGCUGUUCAUAGAAUUCUUUGAUACCUUUGUAGCUAACCUUCAUCGCCUUGGUGAAUAUCCGAUAAGAGAAAUCAUAGUUGCUUCGAGCGUUCAUGGAACAAUUCAACAAGGUAGCCCUUACUAUAAGAAGUCUAAGCCCAUAGGUUGCCUUAUCCCCUCGUCACGGCCCUCAAGCCAUGUCCAUUCUCCGACAACUUGUGCAAAAAACGAGCUGAGAACAUGGACAAGCUAAGGUAAAGAGCAAGCAAAUUUAUGCAUCUGGAAGAACUCUGAGAGUUUAAAUCCAAAGUUACUUGGAAUACCAAUGUCCGGAGGGUGAAAAGGAAGCCUUGUGGAUGAUUCCGUCGAGAAGACCAAGAGAGUUCCCAAAGUCGAUAUGCUUUUUGCAAUACACCUCUUUGAUAGUGGAAUGAUCUAGCCUGGACGAAGCAUAAAUGUCGAUCUGAUAUCGACAACAAAAAGUGUUCGGUUUACUAGAGUCUAAGUUCAAGAAGGGGGUGAAUUGGACUUAUAAAUUUUCCGCAAAGAAAAACUAUUUUAAGAAAUCCUGACAGAAAAUAACAUAUUCAUUUAGAGUAAAACAGAUUUAUUUUCCGAUUCCAAGUAGUAGUUCUAGAAAUACAAUAGAUUUGUUUUAGAAACAACAAAUUUAAUUUCGAAUUAAUAGUUCUACACACUUGCAGAUUUAAAUGAUUAGCAACAGAGAUAUUAAGUGAGACCUUAAUUCUGAAAAGAAAUUUUCAAAACCUUUUGAAAGCAGUUUCAUAAAGAUAAGGAUCCUAGACAAGAUUGCUUAGUUGAUCUUUAACACUUGUAUUACUCAGUCAAAGAUUACAUAUACUAUGAAUGUUAAGCAAGAUCAAAGCCUUAUCAAAAUCUUGAAAACCAGAAUAUGAUUUAACCCAACAGCAGUUAAAACAACAUAUUCAAUUUUAGAACAACAUAUUUAUUUUAUCACGGAUUACCAAAUUUUAGAUUUAAAGUAGUGAUCAAGAAGAGAUAAAGGCUCACACAGUUUUAUGCCGGUUCACUCAACAAGAGAUACAUUCAUUCCCACCUUAUACCAAGAUGGAUUUCACUAAUGCAAAACAAUCUUUACGAACACUUCUUGGUUCUUGAACCCUCCAAGAACAAGAUUACAAGCUGAAAAACUCUAUUUUGGCAACACACGCACCUCUAGAAACACUAUCAAGAGGCACAAAUACAACCACUAUUACAAAAGAAAAAUAUAGGAAGGAAAACACUUGGACAGAGAGUUUGAAACAGGACCCUCACAACUACAACAAAAGACUUAACCAUGAAUCUUUAACCAAAAGUCACCAGCACAAGAGCACUUUAAGUUUUUAAGAAAAACUUUCAAAAACUAAAGUGAAUUUCAAACUCUUAGUAAAAGAACUUGAAAAUUGUAUGCAAAUCGUGAUUGCAAGGUGCGUUUUAACAUGAGAUCAACCCCUCCUUUUUUAGGUUUCAGAUCAAAAUAGAUUGUUAAAAAACAGUUAGAACUGUUAUAAAAAUAACAGAUUGAAGUUCAAAAGAACAGAUUGUUUUUUGAAAAUACACAUGGUGGUAACAUAACCACUUUCUGAUUAGUUGAUAACGGUAACUGUGAGCAAGAUUGAAUUUGAAAUCAAACUAAAUUUUUGAAAAAGCUUAACAGUUUUGCACCAAUACAAAAAGAAUCAAUUGUUUUUUCAAACAAAAAAUUGAUUUUUGUGAAGUAACUAGUUUUUGAAAAAACUUGAAACUUAUUUUGAAAAUACAUUGUAAGAAACCCUUGUGCCUGAGCUCAUCACUAUGGUUAUGAGAUAUAAGGUAGAUCAUAAUGCAAAAGGCUAUUUAAACAACUUCUAACCUAACAAGGACCACAAAGACAAUGUACAUCAGCCUUUAAGAAGAUUUUCUUCAUCAAACACUUUCUUUAUCCAAGUUGAGUAGAGUCUUCAUCUAUCUUCAACAAUCUCCCCUUGUUUGAUAGAGAAAAAUCCCCAUUGCUUUGAAGGGAGACUCAUGGCCAAGUCAAUAGCUUCUACAGUUUGAUAAAACAUACCAGAGCAUGCACAAAAAUUUGCACCUUAAAAAAAUAACAGAACAUACAAUACCUACAUACCUAAACUUCUUUUCCCCCUUUGUUUUCAUCAAACAGGGUUGGUUCACACAAAAAGCAAGCAAUAAUCAUACACGCAGAAUAGUUCAGGGAGAGUUUUAAAGUGCCAAAUCACAUUUCUGUCCAGAAUAAAAACCAAUGCAUAAAAAUUAGAAAAAGUCUAAAGAAACAAUUUAUAAAGCACAUAGAGGGGAAAAUCACUUGUCCCUAUAAUAGAGCUCUGCAAGUUGCUCUUGAACACCUUCAAGUUGAUAAUCUAGGUUUUGAAACCUAACCUGUGUAAUUUCAAAAUAAGCCCUCUAGUCAGUAAAAAGAGUAUCCAUGUGAUGAAGAACUUGCCUUUCAAAGCUGGAUAAGGGUUCACCCACGAUACUGAGGUUCAUGGGAUGCAACAAGUGCAUUCAUGUCAUUAGAAACAAAAUCUUAUUUCAUGGAAGGGGUUGGUGAAUGCAUCAUGUGGUUAUGCAUAACAAGAUGUCUCAGCAGCCUCCACUGUCUCAUCUUCCGCAUGUGGAGCAUCGUCAUCUUCAUCUGCAAGGGCACAAUUUGAUCAUGUUCCAUUCUUGGAACAACAUUCCUCCUAUACACCCAUGUGUUUUCCUCCUUCUGAAAACCCAUCUUAGUGAGAGUGGCAUUGUCUAUCUCACUCUCAGCCUUAAUAGUCUCAUUUCAUUAAUUUGUGGUGUCAAUCUCAAAAGAAUCGAUUAGUUUAGAUACAAAAAUAACAUAUGGGAAUUUGUAAUCUGUGAGCCUUUUGGAUUUCAACAUGUGUUCUACCAUGAUGUUGACCCAGUUAAUUUUAAUUCUAUUUAUAAUACAAUAAAGUAUAAAUAAAUCCUCUUCAUGAAUAACAACAUGGUUACUACCUCGGGGUGUUAGUUGCCAUGCAAUGACAUAAGCCAGGAUGCAAGAGGUUAAUUUCAGAUUACCUGCAUGGAACCUAUUCACAAGUUGAGCUGGAUUCCUUACACAACUUCUGUAGAACUGGAUUUUGUUGAAUUUCUGAAUUCCAAUUGUGUUUCCUUUGCUCACCUUCAGUCCUGAAUAUUUUGUCCACCUAUAUUGUUCCAAACUUCAUUUGAAAUGGUCAGUUUGACCCCCUUCACAUAUGAACCAAGAUUUCUUCCAUCUAAAGUAAGAUUAGUAUAGAAAACCUUUACCAAAUCUGGAUAUAUAUUUCCAGUCAUUUUCAGAAAAUGCUUUAGUCGUUGGUGUUGAUCAAGAGUGAUCAAGUGCUUUGUAGAAUCCAAAUCCAAGAUGUUUGAUGGAAGGCUGGUGUUGUUGUUGUGUUUGGGUGGGAUCUGGGUAGAGUAAAGUGUUAUCCACUCCCUUGUUGAAUCUAAAACUAAUGUGAAUUAAAACCUUUUUGAAACUAAGUGUUUUUCCAACUAAGUGAAAAACAACCUGUUGUUUUGUCGAAUCAACUGGUUGUUUUGUCGAAUCAACUGGUUGUUUUACCCUUAGGAGUUUUUGAAAAAGGUUGAAAGGUGUUUGGUUUGGUUGACUUAACUGUCAAACCAAAAUAAUCGGUUGUUUUGUGGUUUCAACCGAUUGUUUCUUUCAAAAUCCUAACAGAAUUCAGUUUUGAAUGUUGAAUCUAUUUUAAAUGUUUUCUAACUGAAUACGCUCCUUCAUUAAAUGCUUUGCCUAAUCUUUGGAAAAAAAUAAAUAGUUUGUUUAUGUUUUCAAAUAAGUAAGAAACAGUUUUGAGGAGUUCAGUUUGAUAGAUUUGAUCUUAAGAUUUCAAGAUUCACAUCAAACUUUGGAUUUUCAAGUGAGAGUGGAAUAGGAUUGCAAUUGUAUUCAAUUCAGAUAGUACUGGGAUCAUGUGUAAUCCUUUCUAAACCUAUUAUAUUUCUAGUGUUAUGUUGUCAAGGAGUGUUGUGUGUUCUUGAGGUGUUCAAGAUCAAUACUCUUGGUGUGGUUUGCCAAAGGUAGUGUGUUUUUUUAGGGGUUCAAGGUCACUACUUUGGUGUGUUUUGUUUUUGUAAUUUGGUUUGAUUACAUAGUGGUUUACCCAGUGGUUUCUAGGAACUGGAUGUAGCUCUUGGCUUAAGAGUGAACUAGUAUAAACUGUUUGUGUGAUUCUCUCUUACUCUCAACUCCUUUAAAUUUUGUUUUAAUCUAUUUGUGUUUUUAACUGGUAUGAACAACCGAUUGUUUCGAAGAAACAACCAAUUGUUUUUCUGUUGCUUUGCUGUAUAAUUGUUGAUGUUCUAAGCCAACUUGAUUCCUGUUCUGGAUUUAUACAUAGAUUUUCAUUAAACCUGAAAAAGCUUUCAAAAACCUCCUUUAAACAAUUCACCCCCCGUCUUGUUUAAGGCCAUAUAUUCUAACAGUUGGUGUUUAAGGAUAACUUUUUGUUAGUCCAAAUUUUCACCUUUCAGCCAAGAAAAUUCCAACACCUUUGGAACAUUUAUUUGGUUCCUGCUCAUUUCGUGCAUGAAGGUUGUCAUGGCUUCAACAUCUCCAGCAAACCAUUUUCAAGUAUACCAUGGUUACUAUUGGGUUGCUCUCGGGCUCUUCUCUUUUUGUGUGAGGAGGAUGCCAUUUUGAUGUUGCUUUAACUGCACAAAAUGAAGAGAAAAGUAAAGGAGCUAGAGUCUGUGUUAGAUAAGGAAAAUGAAAAGCUAUUAGUGCAAUACUUGAUAUAAAAACUAUUACAAAGUAAAGAGGUAAAUUGUACAGUUUAGAGAAAAUGUAGUCAAGUGUAGGAACCAAUAGAUUCAGGCAUAGAUUUAUAUAGAAAGAACAGGUUCAGGAGUUGGAGUGUGUGUUUUGAGAAAAUAUCAUGAAAACAGAUUUUUGUACAUAUUUUAUUCUUUAAUGUACAACUUUCAAUUAAAGAAAAUAAUAUGUUGGAAA
RNAcentral lists this long non-coding RNA (6894 nucleotides) under Phaseolus vulgaris (common bean). Its description in RNAcentral is "long non-coding RNA (PVUL_LNC001739)". The record is from RNAcentral. Lineage: Eukaryota; Viridiplantae; Streptophyta; Magnoliopsida; Fabales; Fabaceae.